RNAcentral lists this long non-coding RNA (2786 nucleotides) under Salvia miltiorrhiza (redroot sage). Its description in RNAcentral is "long non-coding RNA (SMIL_LNC008827)". The record is from RNAcentral. Lineage: Eukaryota; Viridiplantae; Streptophyta; Magnoliopsida; Lamiales; Lamiaceae.
GGACAUCAUAGAAAUCAAUAUUUUCUCUUAAAGCUCAACUACUUCAUUGUAUUCUACAGAAGACAAAGGCGCUCAUUAUCCUCUCGACACAGAAGUCGCUCUCCCACUCCAAGACGUCGUAAAAGCCGCUCACCUACACCAAAGCAGAAUAAAAGACAAAGAAAAAGGAGCACUUCUUCAUCCCCUUUAAGUGAAUCCCCACUCAUUGGUACCAAAGAGAUGAAAGAUGCAACUGAAAAAUUGAAAACAGAGGAAGAGGACAAGAAAAGGUAUAAUAAUUACAAUUAUGAUCUUUUCCCUUUUAUAUUCACCUCCUUACAUGAUUUUCUGUACCAUAGUGAUGUGUCUGUUCUUGAAUCUAAACUAGUAAAGUUUUAUAAUUCGUACAUCAUAAUUUGGACUUUCUAAUAUUCUUGAAUCGGUUCCACUCUAGAGGCUGAUGAUGGAAGCCUAACAUAUACUAUCAGUGACUAAGUUUUUGUGGAGAUAACUUGUACAGUUAACAUUGGUUAUAGCUUUGACAUAUCNAUUAAUAUUAAGAGGCGAUGGGGAUUUUCUUUUCCCAUAAUGAGUUCCUAUAAGCUUAUGUUGAGAGGACAGCUCCGGCUAUCUACUUUACUGAUCAGACCAUUAUGAAUUUGUAAUCUGCAGAAACUAUUAUUACAAUAUGUGGUUUGAUGAUUUUUUUUGUACCAGGUUUCGGGUGCUUUUGGUUGCCAUUACCACUAGAAAAGUAAAGAUUUUAACGUAAAAUGAGUAGAAAGACCAAUCUUUAUUAGAUUAAGAUAGGGUAGCUUAUUUGAAAUUGAAUAUGAUGAUGUUACGUUUCAGGAUAAGUUAUAAUGAUGAAGUUUUAGUUUAAAAUUUGAGUAUAUGUGUAUUCAUUACUCUACUUUGGAAACAAAACUAAUUUGAAUUCCGUAACUUUUGUUAGUUAAAUGUGUUCCAAUUAUUUUGUUGAUGUAUUCAAUCUGGACACUUUUCCGGACUAUUGUGGGGUGCACUGUUGUGAACUUUACCCGUAAUAAUUGCUCAUCAUAUUGGUUUUAUUUGUUUUAGAUGAUCUAGCAGAUGCUUACAGAUUGUGUAUCUUUGGUGUCCUAGUGCCAUGUUGCUGCCUAUGAGAGUUUUCGCGUUUUCCCAUCAGCACCUUGAUAUUCUUCAUGCUUAUGGUUGUUGACUUGAUGAUCUGUCACCUUUCGUAAAGCUGCUAAAUUGUAAUUUUAAUGGCUUAUACAUCCUCAUGCUGGGAGCUUCUAUGCACCAAAAAAAACAUUAGAAAGUGAGAUACAUACUCUUUUAACACAUAGGUUGAAUGAGGUAGCCAAGAUGAUUGACCUUUGAGAAAUCUAGAAAAGAAACAAUGGCUCCUUUUGACUGAGAAGUAAGCUGGUGAUAGGUGCCGUUGGUGUUAUUUCACUGCUCGGUUGUGAAAAUAGCAGUGUCUUAUGAUAAAAGAUGCAGCACCCAGUUUAUUCUUUGCAAUAUGUGAGGUAACUGUACAUGCUUUCAGUAUAGAUUUAGGAAACACGAGGUUGUGGUCCUUGUGGACAUCAUAGAAAUCAAUAUUUUCUCUUAAAGCUCAACUACUUCAUUGUAUUCUACAGAAGACAAAGGCGCUCAUUAUCCUCUCGACACAGAAGUCGCUCUCCCACUCCAAGACGUCGUAAAAGCCGCUCACCUACACCAAAGCAGAAUAAAAGACAAAGAAAAAGGAGCACUUCUUCAUCCCCUUUAAGUGAAUCCCCACUCAUUGGUACCAAAGAGAUGAAAGAUGCAACUGAAAAAUUGAAAACAGAGGAAGAGGACAAGAAAAGGUAUAAUAAUUACAAUUAUGAUCUUUUCCCUUUUAUAUUCACCUCCUUACAUGAUUUUCUGUACCAUAGUGAUGUGUCUGUUCUUGAAUCUAAACUAGUAAAGUUUUAUAAUUCGUACAUCAUAAUUUGGACUUUCUAAUAUUCUUGAAUCGGUUCCACUCUAGAGGCUGAUGAUGGAAGCCUAACAUAUACUAUCAGUGACUAAGUUUUUGUGGAGAUAACUUGUACAGUUAACAUUGGUUAUAGCUUUGACAUAUCAUUUCUAGUUUGUCCUGCAGUCCUUGUUUCAUUUGUUAUAAGUAUUGUUGCCUGGUAUUUGGGACAAUGAAAGGAGACACAUCGGUUUGCAAGAGAAUAACUUGUUAUGUACAUAUGCCUCUUAUCGUUUGGAUCUGCAUGGUUUUUUCUUGAGAUAUAUGCAUUAAAAUAUAUAUUAUUUAUGUUCUAUCUGGUGCUAGCAGAAGGUUUAUGCUAAUUGUCAAUUCUUCGUAUAUGUAUCAUAAACCAUUUGAUUAUUAUUAUUUUCCUUUCGUCUUUGUUUACAAAUCGGAUGGCCAUAAAGUUUGCCUUUCUCCAACUCAUUCAUGUGCUGCAAGAAAUGAAUUUGUGAUCCUAUAUAAAUAUGCAACUAGAAAAGAACAUGGAACAAUAUACUAACCAUGGAAGUUGAAUCUGAGUGCUGCAUGUGUGCUUGCUUGUGAAAUUGGUAGCUCUGCUUUUGAUCCGUUUUGCUUGUUGUAGAUAAAUGUAAAAUACUCGUCUAGAGAGAGAUUUUGUUCUGGUCAUACAUCAUAACCCGUUUAUUUCUGCACACAUAAAAGGAAAUUUUGGACUUGUCAUCAACUCAUCUAAUUUAUUGCUUUUCUCAAUUCGUAAAUGUGGAUUUCGAGAGAUGCUGGACCUGGUAUCAUUGCUUAGUGAAUGUGUAGAAAGCUACAUUCAAUUCCAUGGUUUAUGCGUAUUCUACUA